UACGAACCGUACAAACGUUAUUCGGAAUCACUGGGCUUAAAGGGUGCGUAGGCGGCCACGUAAGUGAGAUGUGAAAUCCCUCGGCUCAACCGAGGAAGUGCAUUUCGUACUGCAUGGCUUGAGGGAGACAGGGGUAAGCGGAACUGAUGGUGGAGCGGUGAAAUGCGUAGAUAUCGGAAGGAACGUCGGUGGCGAAAGCGGCGCGCUGGACCUCUUCUGACGCUGAGGCGCGAAAGCCAGGGGAGCGAACGGG
RNAcentral lists this ribosomal RNA (253 nucleotides) under uncultured bacterium. RNAcentral describes it as "partial 16S ribosomal RNA". It matches the Rfam family "Bacterial small subunit ribosomal RNA", at positions 524 to 776 of the family's 1533-position model. The record is from RNAcentral.